UACGGAGGGUGCAAGCGUUGUCCGGAUUUAUUGGGUUUAAAGGGGGCGUAGGCGGCUUUUUAAGUCAGUGGUGAAAGACAACAGCUCAACUGUUGCAGUGCCAUUGAUACUGAAGAGCUUGAGUACAGAUGAGGUAGGCGGAAUUUAUGGUGUAGCGGUGAAAUGCAUAGAUACCAUAAAGAACACCUAUUGCGAAGGCAGCUUACUAAGCUGUAACUGACGCUGAGGCACGAAAGUGUGGGGAUCAAACAGG
RNAcentral lists this ribosomal RNA (253 nucleotides) under uncultured bacterium. RNAcentral describes it as "partial 16S ribosomal RNA". It matches the Rfam family "Bacterial small subunit ribosomal RNA", at positions 524 to 776 of the family's 1533-position model. The record is from RNAcentral.